RNAcentral lists this ribosomal RNA (479 nucleotides) under uncultured bacterium. Its description in RNAcentral is "bacterial SSU rRNA". It matches the Rfam family "Bacterial small subunit ribosomal RNA", at positions 28 to 517 of the family's 1533-position model. The record is from RNAcentral.
GAUGAACGCUAGCGGCAGGCUUAAUACAUGCAAGUCAAGGGGGUAGCAAUACAACCGGCGCACGGGUGAGUAACGCGUACACAACAUACCAUAUACUGGAGUAUAGCUUUGGGAAACUGAAGGUAAUCCUCCAUAACAUUGCGAGAGGGCAUCUGAUUGCAAUUAAAGUUUCGGCGGUAUAUGAUUGGUGUGCGUUUGAUUAGCUAGUUGGUAGGGUAACGGCCUACCAAGGCGACGAUCAAUAGCUGGCGUGAGAGCGCGACCAGCCACACUGGAACUGAGACACGGUCCAGACUCCUACGGGAGGCAGCAGUAGGGAAUAUUGGACAAUGGAGGAAACUCUGAUCCAGCCAUGCCGCGUGAUAGAUGAAGGCCCUCUGGGUUGUAAAUAUCUUUUAAUCUGGGAAGAAACACUCCUAUUCUUAGGAACUUGACGGUACCAGAGGAAUAAGCACCGGCUAACUCCGUGCCAGCAGCCG